GUCUAUAGCCAUACCUCCCUAAACGUGCCUGAUCUCACCUGAUCUCGGAAGCUAAGCAGGACAGGGCCUGGUCAGCACUUGAAUGAAUAAUAUUACUCCAUGUAAACUUAGGUAUAUGGAAC
Molecule: ribosomal RNA, 122 nt
Filed under: Carlito syrichta (Philippine tarsier)
Lineage: Eukaryota; Metazoa; Chordata; Mammalia; Primates; Tarsiidae
Source: RNAcentral